ACAUAAUUAGUAAAGCAUAAUAAUAUAAUUUAUUAAUAUUAAUAAUUCAACUAAUCCACAAAUUUAAAAACAUUAUUUUAUAAAAACAUUAAUAAAAGAAAUUAAUCACAUAAUAAACCAAUCCUUUAGUGCCAGCAGUUGCGGUUAAACUUUAUAUUUAAUUAUAUUAAAACAAAUUGAAAAUUAAACAUUUAUAAAAAAAAUAAAUUACUGGUAAAAUAAAAUUCAUUAAAAAUAAAAAUUUCAAAUCAAUUAAAAUUUAAAAUCUAAAAUAGGAUUAGAUACCCUAAUAUAUUUAAACAAAAUAAGUAAUAAAAAAUUUUUAAAAAAACUAAUUUAGUUUGGCGGCAUUUCAUCUGAUUAGAGGAAUUUGUCCAUUAAUCGAUAAUCCCCGCUAAAUUUAACUUAAGUCUAAAAUUUAUAUACCGCCAUCUCAAGAAUUAAUUUAAAAAUAUUCCUCCAAAUAAUAUAUAAAAAGUUAGGUCAAGGUGUAGUUAAUACCUAAGGAUGAGAUGAAUUACAUUAAAUAAUAUUUAAGGAUUUUCAAUCAAAAUUAAACAUAAAAAAGGAUUUAAAAGUAAUUUUAAAAUAAAAUUUCAGUAUGAAUUAGAUAAUAAAUGUGCACAUAUCGCCCGUCACCCUUGUUACAACCCAAGGUAAGUCGUAACAUAGUUGAUGUUUUGGAAAAAGCAUCAAG
Molecule: ribosomal RNA, 697 nt
Filed under: Agelena silvatica
Lineage: Eukaryota; Metazoa; Arthropoda; Arachnida; Araneae; Agelenidae
Description: 12S ribosomal RNA
Source: RNAcentral